AACACUGACGUCGCGACGCAUAUCAAUAAGCGGAGGAAAAGAAACUAACUAGGAUUCCCUUAGUAACGGCGAGUGAAGCGGGAAGAGCUCAAAUUUGAAAUCUUCAAGGUUCUACCUUGACGAAUUGUAGUUUAAAGAAGUGUUUUCUGUUGGAGUUUUGGUAAAAGUUCUUUGGAAUAGGACAUCAUAGAGGGUGAGAAUCCCGUAUUUGACCAUUUCUUCCAGCUGUGUGAUACACUUUCAAAGAGUCGGAUUGUUUGGGAAUGCAGUCCAAAAUGGGUGGUAAAUUUCAUCUAAAGCUAAAUAUUGGCGAGAGACCGAUAGCGAACAAGUACCGUGAGGGAAAGAUGAAAAGAACUUUGAAAAGAGAGUUAAACAGUACGUGAAGUUGUCAAAAGGGAAGCGUUUGACACCAGUGUUGUUUUCUCGAAAAUCAAUUAAAAAUGACCGGAUUUUGUGCUGUAUUGACUUUAUCAGCUUUCUGCACUUUUAUCUUGUCUUUUUUAAUGCACUUUUCGUUUAACAAGUCAACAUCAAUUUCUUUUGUUGUAAAAGGGUCAUUGGAAGGUGGCUUUCAUUUCGGUGAAAGUGUUUAUAGCCUUUGACUUCUGCAAUCGGAGAGAUUGAGGUCUGCAGCGUAGAUCCUUCGGGGUUAGAUACAUUUGUGCUAAGUUAUAGCCUUUUCAUAGACAACAUUGUUGACUAUGAUCAUCAUGUAGCUUACUCGCUUAUGUCUAUUUUACCUACGCUUAGGAUGUUGACGCGCGUGUGUGCGUG
Molecule: ribosomal RNA, 777 nt
Filed under: uncultured Neocallimastigales
Lineage: Eukaryota; Fungi; Neocallimastigomycota; Neocallimastigomycetes; Neocallimastigales
Description: partial large subunit ribosomal RNA
Rfam family: Eukaryotic large subunit ribosomal RNA
Source: RNAcentral